RNAcentral lists this transfer RNA (76 nucleotides) under Polycheles typhlops. RNAcentral's name for it is "tRNA-Tyr". Lineage: Eukaryota; Metazoa; Arthropoda; Malacostraca; Decapoda; Polychelidae. The record is from RNAcentral.
AAUAAGAUGGCCGAAAAAAUUUAGGCGGUAAAUUGUAAAUUUAUGGAUGAGUAGAAAAAAAUUAACUCUCUUAUUA